GACGAACGCUGGCGGCGUGCCUAAUACAUGCAAGUUGAGCGCUGAAGGUUGGUACUUGUACCAACUGGAUGAGCAGCGAACGGGUGAGUAACGCGUGGGGAAUCUGCCUUUGAGCGGGGGACAACAUUUGGAAACGAAUGCUAAUACCGCAUAAAAACUUUAAACACAAGUUUUAAGUUUGAAAGAUGCAAUUGCAUCACUCAAAGAUGAUCCCGCGUUGUAUUAGCUAGUUGGUGAGGUAAAGGCUCACCAAGGCGAUGAUACAUAGCCGACCUGAGAGGGUGGUCGGCCACAUUGGGACUGGGACACGGCCCAAACUCCUACGGGAGGCAGCAGUAGGGAAUCUUCGGCGAUGGACGAAAGUCUGACCGAGCAACGCCGCGUGAGUGAAGAAGGUUUUCGGAUCGUAAAACUCUGUUGGUAGAGAAGAACGUUGGUGAGAGUGGAAAGCUCAUCAAGUGACGGUAACUACCCAGAAAGGGACGGCUAACUACGUG
Molecule: ribosomal RNA, 497 nt
Filed under: uncultured bacterium
Lineage: Bacteria
Description: partial 16S ribosomal RNA
Rfam family: Bacterial small subunit ribosomal RNA
Source: RNAcentral